Molecule: ribosomal RNA, 253 nt
Filed under: uncultured bacterium
Lineage: Bacteria
Description: partial 16S ribosomal RNA
Rfam family: Bacterial small subunit ribosomal RNA
Source: RNAcentral
UACGUAGGGUGCAAGCGUUGUCCGGAAUUAUUGGGCGUAAAGCGCGCGUAGGCGGCCUGGUAAGUCCGCUGUGAAAGUCAAAGGCUCAACCUUUGAAUGUCAGCGGAUACUGCCAGGCUAGAGUCCGGAAGAGGCGAGUGGAAUUCCUGGUGUAGCGGUGGAAUGCGCAGAUAUCAGGAGGAACACCAACGGCGAAGGCAGCUCGCUGGGACGGUACUGACGCUGAGGCGCGAAAGCGUGGGGAGCGAACAGG